CAGGGUAUAGACCCGAAACCCGGUGAUCUAGCCAUGGGCAGGUUGAAGGUUGGGUAACACUAACUGGAGGACCGAACCGACUAAUGUUGAAAAAUUAGCGGAUGACCUGUGGCUGGGGGUGAAAGGCCAAUCAAACCGGGAGAUAGCUGGUUCUCCCCGAAAGCUAUUUAGGUAGCGCCUCGUGAAUUCAUCUCCGGGGGUAGAGCACUGUUUCGGCUAGGGGGCCAUCCCGGCUUACCAACCCGAUGCAAACUGCGAAUACCGGAGAAUGUUAUCACGGGAGACACACGGCGGGUGCUAACGUCCGUCGUGAAGAGGGAAACAACCCAGACCGCCAGCUAAGGUCCCAAAGUCAUGGUUAAGUGGGAAACGAUGUGGGAAGGCCCAGACAGCCAGGAUGUUGGCUUAGAAGCAGCCAUCAUUUAAAGAAAGCGUAAUAGCUCACUGGUCGAGUCGGCCUGCGCGGAAGAUGUAACGGGGCUAAACCAUGCACCGAAGCUGCGGCAGCGACGCUGAUGCGUUGUUGGGUAGGGGAGCGUUCUGUAAGCCUGCGAAGGUGUGUCGUGAGGCAUGCUGGAGGUAUCAGAAGUGCGAAUGCUGACAUAAGUAACGAUAAAGCGGGUGAAAAGCCCGCUCGCCGGAAGACCAAGGGUUCCUGUCCAACGUUAAUCGGGGCAGGGUGAGUCGACCCCUAAGGCGAGGCCGAAAGGCGUAGUCGAUGGGAAACGGGUUAAUAUUCCCGUACUUGGUGUUACUGCGAAGGGGGGACGGAGAAGGCUAUGUUGGCCGGGCGACGGUUGUCCCGGUUUAAGCGUGUAGGUGUGUGUUCCAGGUAAAUCCGGUUCACUUUAACACUGAGGCGUGAUGACGAGGCACUACGGUGCUGAAGCAACAAAUGCCCUGCUUCCAGGAAAAGCCUCUAAGCAUCAGGUAACAUCAAAUCGUACCCCAAACCGACACAGGUGGUCAGGUAGAGAAUACCAAGGCGCUUGAGAGAACUCGGGUGAAGGAACUAGGCAAAAUGGUGCCGUAACUUCGGGAGAAGGCACGCUGACACGUAGGUGAAGUGAUUUACUCAUGGAGCUGAAGUCAGUCGAAGAUACCAGCUGGCUGCAACUGUUUAUUAAAAACACAGCACUGUGCAAACACGAAAGUGGACGUAUACGGUGUGACGCCUGCCCGGUGCCGGAAGGUUAAUUGAUGGGGUCAGCGCAAGCGAAGCUCCUGAUCGAAGCCCCGGUAAACGGCGGCCGUAACUAUAACGGUCCUAAGGUAGCGAAAUUCCUUGUCGGGUAAGUUCCGACCUGCACGAAUGGCGUAAUGAUGGCCAGGCUGUCUCCACCCGAGACUCAGUGAAAUUGAACUCGCUGUGAAGAUGCAGUGUACCCGCGGCAAGACGGAAAGACCCCGUGAACCUUUACUAUAGCUUGACACUGAACAUUGAGCCUUGAUGUGUAGGAUAGGUGGGAGGCUUUGAAGUGUGGACGCCAGUCUGCAUGGAGCCGGCCUUGAAAUACCACCCUUUAAUGUUUGAUGUUCUAACGUGGACCCGUGAUCCGGGUUGCGGACAGUGUCUGGUGGGUAGUUUGACUGGGGCGGUCUCCUCCUAAAGAGUAACGGAGGAGCACGAAGGUUGGCUAAUCCUGGUCGGACAUCAGGAGGUUAGUGCAAUGGCAUAAGCCAGCUUGACUGCGAGCGUGACGGCGCGAGCAGGUGCGAAAGCAGGUCAUAGUGAUCCGGUGGUUCUGAAUGGAAGGGCCAUCGCUCAACGGAUAAAAGGUACUCCGGGGAUAACAGGCUGAUACCGCCCAAGAGUUCAUAUCGACGGCGGUGUUUGGCACCUCGAUGUCGGCUCAUCACAUCCUGGGGCUGAAGUAGGUCCCAAGGGUAUGGCUGUUCGCCAUUUAAAGUGGUACGCGAGCUGGGUUUAGAACGUCGUGAGACAGUUCGGUCCCUAUCUGCCGUGGGCGCUGGAGAACUGAGGGGGGCUGCUCCUAGUACGAGAGGACCGGAGUGGACGCAUCACUGGUGUUCGGGUUGUCAUGCCAAUGGCACUGCCCGGUAGCUAAAUGCGGAAGAGAUAAGUGCUGAAAGCAUCUAAGCACGAAACUUGCCCCGAGAUGAGUUCUCCCUGAGACUUAGAGUCUCCUGAAGGAACGUUGAAGACGACGACGUUGAUAGGCCGGGUGUGUAAGCGCAGCGAUGCGUUGAGCUAACCGGUACUAAUGAACCGUGAGGCUUAACCUUACAACGCCGAAG
This 2259-nucleotide ribosomal RNA is filed under the name Salmonella enterica subsp. enterica serovar Johannesburg. Its description in RNAcentral is "partial 23S ribosomal RNA". It matches the Rfam family "Bacterial large subunit ribosomal RNA", at positions 703 to 2925 of the family's 2925-position model. The record is from RNAcentral. Lineage: Bacteria; Pseudomonadati; Pseudomonadota; Gammaproteobacteria; Enterobacterales; Enterobacteriaceae.